This 460-nucleotide ribosomal RNA is filed under the name uncultured bacterium. RNAcentral's name for it is "partial 16S ribosomal RNA". It matches the Rfam family "Bacterial small subunit ribosomal RNA", at positions 338 to 795 of the family's 1533-position model. The record is from RNAcentral.
CCUACGGGUGGCAGCAGUGAGGAAUAUUGGUCAAUGGGCGUAAGCCUGAACCAGCCAAGUCGCGUGAGGGAUGAAGGUUCUAUGGAUCGUAAACCUCUUUUAUAAGGGAAUAAAGUGCGGGACGUGUCCCGUUUUGUAUGUACCUUAUGAAUAAGGAUCGGCUAACUCCGUGCCAGCAGCCGCGGUAAUACGGAGGAUCCGAGCGUUAUCCGGAUUUAUUGGGUUUAAAGGGUGCGUAGGCGGCCUUUUAAGUCAGCGGUGAAAUUCUGUGGGUCAACCAUUGAAGUGCCGUUGAAACUGGGAGGCUUGAGUGUGUGUGAGGCAGGCGGAAUGCGUGGUGUAGCGGUGAAAUGCUUAGAUAUCACACAGAACCCCGAUUGCGAAGGCAGCAUGCCAAGCCAUGACUGACGCUGAUGCACGAAAGCGUGGGGAUCGAACAGGAUUAGAUACCCUUGUAGUC